UGAAUUGACGGGGGCCCGCACAAGCGGUGAGCAUGUGGUUUAAUUCGAUGAUACGCGAGGAACCUUACCUGGGCUCAAAUGUAUGUUGACGUAUUCUGAAAGGGAUACUUCUUCGGACAAUAUACAAGGUGCUGCAUGGUUGUCGUCAGCUCGUGCCGUGAGGUGUCGGGUUAAGUCCCAUAACGAGCGCAACCCUAUCAUUAGUUGCCAUCAGGUCAAGCUGGGGACUCUAAUGAAACUGCCUACGCAAGUAGUGAGGAAGGUGGGGAUGACGUCAAAUCAGCACGGCCCUUACGUCCAGGGCUACACACGUGCUACAAUGGCCGGUACAAAGGGCAGCUACCUGGUGACAGGAUGCUAAUCUCAAAAGCCGGUCUCAGUUCGGAUCGGAGUCUGCAACCCGACUCCGUGAAGCUGGAAUCGCUAGUAAUCGCGCAUCAGCCAUGGCGCGGUGAAUACGUUCCCGGGCCUU
RNAcentral lists this ribosomal RNA (472 nucleotides) under uncultured Sphingobacteriales bacterium. RNAcentral describes it as "bacterial SSU rRNA". It matches the Rfam family "Bacterial small subunit ribosomal RNA", at positions 907 to 1382 of the family's 1533-position model. Lineage: Bacteria; Pseudomonadati; Bacteroidota; Sphingobacteriia; Sphingobacteriales. The record is from RNAcentral.